Molecule: long non-coding RNA, 528 nt
Filed under: Mus musculus (house mouse)
Lineage: Eukaryota; Metazoa; Chordata; Mammalia; Rodentia; Muridae
Description: RIKEN cDNA D830032E09 gene
Source: RNAcentral
ACUUUCCCCGCAGCAGGCGUGUGCUGCUGUUACUGGUCUUUGCCACUUUGAUUGAGACAGACGGACUGGGGAUUUCUCCAUCACUGUUGCACAUAAGAAGAGUGGUGAUAGGAAGAGUGGACACAGCAGUGUUCAUACCAGGCACUGUCCUGGAGCCAGUGAUGCCAGAGGGAGCAAGCCUCCUACCCUACAAAACUCAUCUCCUGUGACCUUCUAGCCUGAGUCAAGCUGGGAUCGUCAUUGCUCUGUGUGGGCAAGGUUACAUCACAGCUUGGCAGGAGAUGGAAGAAGAGAAGACGGCAGCAAUAAAGCAAUUUCUACUGGUUAAAUAGCUUCCUGCCACUGCCUAGAUCUCUGCUGCUAUCAGAAUGAGUUGUGAAAGUUCUUAUGAGGAGGAGGAAAUGGUUACUGCAGGAGACUCAUCACUGAUGAAACUGGAAUAGGUUACUCUUUCUGUAAUGGGGGUACUAUUUCUGUAGUAUGGUAGCCCAAUGCUCACUCACUCAAUAAAGGACUAUACAAAUACCA